Molecule: ribosomal RNA, 447 nt
Filed under: uncultured bacterium
Lineage: Bacteria
Description: bacterial SSU rRNA
Rfam family: Bacterial small subunit ribosomal RNA
Source: RNAcentral
UUGCCAGACUCCUACGGGAGGCAGCAGUGGGGAAUAUUGCACAAUGGGGGAAACCCUGAUGCAGCGACGCCGCGUGAGUGAAGAAGUAUUUCGGUAUGUAAAGCUCUAUCAGCAGGGAAGAAGUUGACGGUACCUGAGUAAGAAGCCCCGGCUAACUACGUGCCAGCAGCCGCGGUAAUACGUAGGGGGCAAGCGUUAUCCGGAUUUACUGGGUGUAAAGGGAGCGCAGGCGGCGCGCCAAGUCUGGUGUGAAACCCCGGGGCUCAACCCCGGGACUGCAUUGGAAACUGGCGGGCUGGAGUGUCGGAGGGGCAGGCGGAAUUCCUGGUGUAGCGGUGAAAUGCGUAGAUAUCAGGAGGAACAUCGGUGGCGAAAGCGCUUUACUGGACCAUUAUUGACGCUGAGGAACGAAAGCCAGGGGAGCAAAUGGGAUUAGAUACCCCAGUA